RNAcentral lists this long non-coding RNA (374 nucleotides) under Homo sapiens (human). RNAcentral describes it as "non-protein coding lnc-COMMD6-2:11". Lineage: Eukaryota; Metazoa; Chordata; Mammalia; Primates; Hominidae. The record is from RNAcentral.
CGCAAGUCCCAGACGCUGCCCAUGGAGGCGUCCAGCGAGCCGCCGCUGGAUGCUAAGUCCGAUGUCACCAACCAGUAUUAAAAUGAAGAUACUUUAUGUAAAUAUGACCAGCGUUGAAACUAAAAGUUGAGUGUAACUGCAGUAAAAUUGAAUAAAUAUCUGCAUUCCAGAAUUUCUACAGACAGUUCAAGGAAAUUGCUGCAGUUAUUGAAACGGUGUGAAGACGGAUUCUUUGGUUGAUAAAUUGCUAUCAUUCUAAAGUCAUGGACUUCACUUUCGGCAACAAAACUAAAUAAGGAUGGAACAUUUAUUGAAUGAAAAAUGCACUUUUGUUUUUCCAUUUUUUUAAAUAAUAAAAAUCAGACAAACAGGAA